GCGGCAUUACGCCGCCCACGCUCCCCCAUGCUGACUCCAUUAUUCAGCAGAACGCAGCCAGGCCAGAAGAAGCUUCCUGCCAUGCUGGAUGAAGGAUGGGCAACACACCUUGCAGACCUCAGCCCCUUUCUACGUGCCGUGCGGGACACAUUGGCUGCUCUCUGGAUAAGCGGCUUCAUCAGAGGUAUCACAGAGCAGAAAUGUUACCUACUGGCUGGCCAUACAGCCUGCUGUGCAGGAGAUGGAGAAGAACAAGAGAGGCACAAAGAGCUGUGAUGCUCAGCGGAAGACCCAAGCCCAGCACAUAGUGAGGGCCGGGCAAUGCUUCAGCAUCACUUCAGUCAUCUUUCCCCACUGGGCAGUGCCAUACGAGCUCCCUGGUCUCAGCAAAAAGGCCACCAAGAGCAAUUUUGACCCAUCCCACAGCUGCCCUGGCCAUGCAUUGGUGUUUGUUGCUCCCCACAGUCGCUGCUGCAGGCAGGCUGUGUUGUAUUUUAGCCCCGACAUUACCCAGCAGGCAGCAAGAACUGGAUACUCAUUAACUACACUGAGAUGGGAGCAGCUCCUCCUAUAAAAGUUUUGUUUUUGCUCGGUGACAUUUGCAAGAGAGAGAGCCCUUGAAAGCUGCGUCGUUGGACACUCAAUUCAUAGCCCUCGUUCAUUCCUGCUCCCUCGCUGUCACUUAGCAGAAAACAUUCCGAAAUCCAAUAUUUGAUCUCUCUCCCUCCUCCUCCUCCUGCCCUUUGAUCAUCUCCCUUCUGCACCUCUACCCCCGGUAGGACAAAGAUGCUUAACAAACGGGAGCAAUGGGCUGAGGAGCGAGCUCCGGGAGGGAUCCAGGGCAAGGCAAUCAGAUUUACAAAGCACUUGCUAUAGGCACCGCCAAGAUUUUGGCAGAGAUGUUGAGAGAUUUGUGUGCUGCAUGCCAAAUGUUCUAGAGAGGGGCUCUCAGCUGGUUAGCAGGGAGUUAAGCAUGGCAAAUAGUUAACAGUUAAUGGAUUGCCGAACACUUGGCCAAUGAGUCAGUGCUCAGCUUAUAACUAUGGCACGUAGCCAUCAGCAGCAACAUCUACUGAUGGAUUUAUACCAAUCUACUACUAAUAUCUGCAAUAUGUUUCUAACAUCUGCUAACCCCUUAUUAACUCUAUACAGACUCUUGAAGAGCUAUCAAUAAAUGUAACUUUAAUAGGAAGGCUGACCCUGUUGCUAGCAUCAGAACAGAAGCAGAAAUCUCAUUAAAUCAACUUUCCUAGCUGGGCAUCUUUUCUCUGACAGAAAUCUCAUGAGAGCAUCGGGCAGGAUUGGAGCAGCGCCUGUCCUGAGCAGGGAGGAACAAUCCCUUCUGUGGCCCUCAGCACGAGCAGCAAAAUCCCAAAGCUAUCUGAGGCUGAGCACAGCCUUUGGGGGCACCUCCACCCGCCCCAGAGACGUUGCAAGUAGGCAUAAUUUUCUCUAGUGGUAGAAACUGAGCUAAAACGCAGCCAACAGCUCAAGGUCAGAGCAUCCCUGCCAGCUUGUCCUUGGGACUGCAGAGCCCCUGCCCUACACCUCAAGGCAGAGCUCUGCAUCAGGCCGUGCAUUCCCCUUCUCUCCUCCACAGCCACUCCACGCUGUUGGUAUUCAAGUUCCAAACCAUUAAAAGAAAAAGUUCCUAACAAGCUCGAGUGCAGUGACCUCAUUCCGCAUGCAGCAGCCUCGUGUGUUGCAGCAGAUAUUUUAUUCUUCCCAUAUUAGAGGUGAAAAGCGUGUAUUUAGGGAAGGCACCACGGUGUGAGACGUCAGGAAGGAUGGCAGGGAGUCAGCUUUCCCUUCCCUGGAGGAGGCUGUCCUCUCUGCUCACAGCCUGCUCACCCACGCACCCCACUGCCAACACAACUCAAUCCAUGGGGCAAACUGAGGCAGGCGGGCUCACGGGGCCACGUUUCUGCUGCUUGUGUGGCUGUGCUCCAUUGCCAGCUCAGCUCUGGGGGCAGUUUGCAGCAGCAGCAUUCACGCACCCUGCGUGGACGGGGCCAGAUCCCAAGCUAAAGCUCAGCUCCUCCACCCCCUGCAGCCUUCAAAGGCUCACACUGCACCAGCUUCAUUCACCCCUUUCAUCCA
This 2100-nucleotide long non-coding RNA is filed under the name Gallus gallus (chicken). RNAcentral describes it as "long non-coding RNA NONGGAT005237". The record is from RNAcentral. Lineage: Eukaryota; Metazoa; Chordata; Aves; Galliformes; Phasianidae.